CCAUACCGCCUCCGCCCUCAACCCUAGCCGUAUCGCGCCCUCGCCCUGCCUCCAGCCCCGCGCAGUAUGCUGCUCGCUCGUCGUUGGCUACUCGCCUGCUCCCAUGCUCCCUCCGGAUCUGCUGCUCUCGGGGAUUUGGCGCAGCGGCUUUGCGCCUCCACACUUGGUCGCCGGCCUCCUCACCUCCACAAGCCCACGUCAUCGCCGUCUCCUCUUCGCCAUCGCCCCGCUCGCCUCCUGUGCCAACGACCCGACCAACCUCGCCGCCAAGCAGGGCCACACCGGUGAGCUCCCCUUCUGUUGAUGUUGUGGGAGCGGAUCGAAGGCCCGGAUUCGUUUGGGGUUUGCUUUUUAUGGACGGGACUGGGUAGAACUCUUUGUUGUCUUCAGCUGAUAGGCUUUACUCUUGGCAUCAUUCGGCUGGCCUAGGCUGGAAUUUGUUUGACAUCCGGAGCUUCGAAGUUCAACUUGUUGGCAUUGACUGGGUGGGCUGUAGAUGGAAUUUUUCGAGUUCUGCAAUUCAGUUCACAAAGGGGAAAUAGAAAUGGUUGCGGGUGAUCCCAACCUGCUGACAGUUCUAACUGUUUUGGUAUGUUUUAAGUUGAUUCACUGUCAGCUGAUGAGGUUCCUACCAUAACACUUAAGCAAGGAAUCCUGUACACUUCUCUCCUGGUAAAUAGACUGAUAGUAGAGUAAUACAUAUUGUUGCCAUGAUAAAAUGCUAACUGUGCUGCAUAGACUGAUAGUAGAGUAAUACAUACUGUCAGCUUCAAUUCGUUUGGUUUGAUUGGCAGGUGUGAGGUGCUAUGAGCAUGUGACUCUAAAUCUACUAGUCCUAGAAUGGAUUACAGUUGUCAGGAAUUUUUGUUGGGACUGGUGAGCUUCAGUACCGUAGAAAGACACAGCUACAUUAUUUGUACUCUAGUACAGUACCGUAGAGUCAUUAUCAGGCCAAUAGGAUGGUUUAAUAUUCAAAGACUAGUUUCUUGCCUGUUCAUGUUAGCUGAUUUUAAACCUAACUAUUUGAUUUUUGUCUUGCAGUGAUAUAAAAAAGUUGAAACUUUCAUAGCUUACCUGCCGAGAAUGCAUUGUUGAAGUUGCAAAGAUGUAUGUCUAAGUUUAUUUUCACAUAAUAGUAUAUUUUUUUCUAUUAUCAAGAAUUGUUUCUCAAUACAUUCAUGAGUUGGAAAUUGUACUGUGAGCCUUUCUAUAUUAUAUAGUCUAGCUAGCUCUACAAUAGAGCUCUAGUACAGACAGAACACAUGCUUUCAUACUCCUAUGGAAUAGUAGAAUCAGGUAGCAGAAUUAGGUGUUCAUUAACCAUGCAAAUAAUUAAUUCAAGUUAUCUAAAUAGGCCCUUAGUUUAUAAUGCUGAAAGUAUAAAAAGUGUUCCACUCUCAAUACCGAGAAUAGGAAGACUCCACCAUGUAUAUGUGUUCUUAUCAGGUGCUCUUCUUUCCCGAUAAAAUAAAAAUCCUUUGCUUCAAUAUGCUACAUGAUACUUUGUGUAUAGAUAAAGGAAUACAUCCAUAUGAUGUUCCUGGGAGUUAGUUUGAUGUCCAUAUACUCCAUGCUUGCUGAUUGGAAAGGAAACUAGUUAUUUCGUUUGAAGUCAUAUGCUGCUUGGCGUCAUUCUAAUCCAAGUAGCUGAGGGGUCAACAGUGGCUAACUUCCCUGUCACUUUAUUCCAAAGAGCAAAAGGGAAUCCCACCCUAGCUGUGAUAUUUUCCCUGGAUUAUGGUUGUCCAGGAAUCCUACAUGGAGUGGAAUUUAUCUCCGGGUUAAUUAACCUUGGUUGCCAAACUAGCCCUCAAUGUGCGGGACAAGAAGGGAAAUACUGCUUUGCACAUAGCUACACGGAAAUGGAGGCCCCAGGGAUCUGGAAUAACAGGAGCCUGAUGGUUGCAUCAGUAGAGUUGACCACUUCUCAGUAUUGCGAGAUGCAUCUUACAUGGUCAAGAAGAUAAUUCCUAUUCUGAGCUACUUGCUCGUGUACAAGUCUCCUUAUCAUGUCCUCCUUUCAAGCCAGUCUAUUCUUUGCUUGAUUCAUCACGGGUGCACAUUAUUGUAAUUAGAAUCUUCAGAGUACUCGAAGGAUAGUUAAAGCUGUUUAGCUAGUCCUUCAGAUUACUGAAAAUAUAGUUAAGAACAUUUGUAUUUUGCUAUUUCGAUUUCCAACAGUACAACUAUUGAGUACAACUAUUGGGGAUGAUUGUUU
Zea mays is the source of this 2218-nucleotide RNA transcript. It is a transcript of the gene named protein-like pseudogene, with no coding region annotated. The record is from RefSeq and is marked validated. The transcript is spliced from 2 exons. Lineage: Eukaryota; Viridiplantae; Streptophyta; Magnoliopsida; Poales; Poaceae.